GGUUGCGAUCAUACCAGCACUAAUGCACCGGAUCCCAUCAGAACUCCGCAGUUAAGCUUGCUUGGGCGAGAGUAGUACUAGGAUGGGUGACCCCCUGGGAAGUCCUCGUGUUGCAACCC
This 119-nucleotide ribosomal RNA is filed under the name Helianthus annuus (common sunflower). Lineage: Eukaryota; Viridiplantae; Streptophyta; Magnoliopsida; Asterales; Asteraceae. The record is from RNAcentral.